CAUGCAGUCGAGGGGUAACGGGGUGCUUGCACCGCCGACGACCGGCGCACGGGUGCGUAACGCGUAUACAAUCUACCUUGUAGAGGGGAAUAGCCCAGAGAAAUUUGGAUUAAUGCCCCAUAGUAUUAUGAAAUAGCAUUAUUUUAUAAUUAAACAUUUAUGGCUACAAGAUGAGUAUGCGUUCUAUUAGUUAGUAGGUAAGGUAACGGCUUACCUAGACUUCGAUAGAUAGGGGUCCUGAGAGGGAGAUCCCCCACACUGGUACUGAGACACGGACCAGACUCCUACGGGAGGCAGCAGUGAGGAAUAUUGGACAAUGGGCGAGAGCCUGAUCCAGCCAUGCCGCGUGCAGGAAGACGGCCCUAUGGGUUGUAAACUGCUUUUAUAGAGGAAGAAACACUCCUACGUGUAGGAGCUUGACGGUACUCUACGAAUAAGGAUCGGCUAACUCCGUGCCAGCAGCCGCGGUAAUACGGAGGAUCCAAGCGUUAUCCGGAAUCAUUGGGUUUAAAGGGUCCGUAGGCGGGACAAUCAGUCAGCGGUGAAAGUCUGUGGCUCAACCAUAGAAUUGCCAUUGAUACUGUUGUUCUUGAAUACUUAUGAAGUGGUUGGAAUAUGUAGUGUAGCGGUGAAAUGCAUAGAUAUUACAUAGAACACCGAUUGCGAAGGCAGAUCACUAAUAAGUCAUUGACGCUGAUGGACGAAAGCGUAGGUAGCGAACAGGAUUAGAUACCCUGGUAGUCUACGCCGUAAACGAUGGUUACUAGCUGUUCGGUUGCAAGACUGAGUGGCUAAGCGAAAGUGAUAAGUAACCCACCUGGGGAGUACGUUCGCAAGAAUGAAACUCAAAGGAAUUGACGGGGGCCCGCACAAGCGGUGGAGCAUGUGGUUUAAUUCGAUGAUACGCGAGGAACCCUUACCAGGCUUAAAUGUAGAUUGACAGGGGUGGAACACCUUUUCCCUUCGGGCAAUUUACA
RNAcentral lists this ribosomal RNA (977 nucleotides) under uncultured Gillisia sp. RNAcentral's name for it is "bacterial SSU rRNA". It matches the Rfam family "Bacterial small subunit ribosomal RNA", at positions 54 to 1036 of the family's 1533-position model. Lineage: Bacteria; Pseudomonadati; Bacteroidota; Flavobacteriia; Flavobacteriales; Flavobacteriaceae. The record is from RNAcentral.